UUGUCAGUGGCGAACGGGUGAGUAACGCAUGGGUAAUCUGCCUCGAAGAGGGGAAUAACUGCCCGAAAGGGCUUGUAAUUCCGCAUGAGAUCCACAUCUGGGAAGGUGUAGAUGAAAGGGCCUUCGGGUCGCUUUGAGAUGAGCCCGUGUCCGAUUAGCUAGUUGGUGAGGUAAGAGCUCACCAAGGCAUAUCGGUAGCUGGUCUGAGAGGACGAUCAGCCACACUGGAACUGAGACACGGUCCAGACUCCUACGGGGGGCAGCAAUUAGGAAUCUUGCGCAAUGGGCGAAAGCCUGACGCAGCGACGUCGCGUGAACGAUGAAGUCUUUCGGGAUGUAAAGUUCUUUUCUGAGGGAAGAAGGAUGCGACGGUACCUCAGGAAUAAGCCCCGGCUAACUACGUGCCAGCAGCCGCGGUAAUACGUAGGGGGCGAGCGUUGUCCGAAUUUACUGGGCGUAAAGCGCGCGUAGGCGGACUCUUAAGUUGGUGGUGAAAUGCCGAGGCUCAACCUCGGAACUGCCUUCAAAACUGGGAGUCUAGAGGCUUGGAGAGGGAAGUGGAAUUCCUGGUGUAGCGGUGAAAUGCGUAGAUAUCAGGAGGAACACCGAUGGCGAAGGCAGCUUCCUGGCCAUGUCCUGACGCUGAGGUGCGAAAGCUAGGGUAGCGAACGGGAUUAGAUACCCCGGUAGUCCUAGCCGUAAACGAUGGAUACUAGGUGUUAGAGGUAUCGACCCCUCUAGUGCCGAAGCAAACGCAUUAAGUAUCCCGCCUGGGGAGUACGGCCGCAAGGUUGAAACUCAAAGGAAUUGACGGGGGCCCGCACAAGCGGUGGAGCAUGUGGUUUAAUACGUCACUAACCGUAGAACCUCACCCAGGCUUGACAUCUGCUGAAAGCGCCUGAAAGGGUGGCCCCGGUAUUUUUAUAUCGCAGCAAGACAGGUGUUGCAUGGCUGUCGUCAGCUCGUGUCGUGAGAUGUUGGGUUAAGUCCCGCAACGAGCGCAACCCUCAUCCGAUGUUGCCAGCGUAAAGUCGGGAACUCUUCGGAAACUGCCCGUGCAAGCGGGAGGAAGGUGGGGAUGACGUCAAGUCAGCAUGGCCCUUACGCCUGGGGCUACACACAUGCUACAAUGGAUGUAAACAAUGGGCAGCAAGACCGCGAGGUGGAGCAAAUCUCAAAAAUACAUCCUCAGUUCGGAUUGCAGUCUGCAACUCGACUGCAUGAAGUCGGAAUCGCUAGUAACCGCAGGUCAGCUAAACUGCGGUGAAUACGUUCCCGGGCCUUGUACACACCGCCCGUCACGCCACCUGAGUUGUCUGCACCCGAAGUCGAUGGCCCGACCGCAAGGGGGGAGUCGCCGAAGUGUGGGAGCGAGGGGGACGAAGUC
This 1387-nucleotide ribosomal RNA is filed under the name uncultured organism. Its description in RNAcentral is "bacterial SSU rRNA". It matches the Rfam family "Bacterial small subunit ribosomal RNA". The record is from RNAcentral.